CCGUUCCCGUAAGGCCGCGGCUGUCGUGUGUGCGCCUGUGAGAGCAUACACGUAACGGCUCGACAACACGAGCAGGGCAAGCCGUUUUCGUUCUGGGGAAAGGGACAGCUCUUCUAUGCUCGUCUGCGUGCGUGAGUUCGACAAGUCCGAGUUGUCCGCGCGGCAUGGCAAGUCGCUCACCACUCAGCACUUCGAGCGUUACUACACUCUAUACCGGACUGAGACCAGCCUCACCAUCGUGGAUGUCGUGGACAGCCGCGCGCGUAAAACGGUCAACUACGAUGUGUUCACUAGCUCCUCGACGCAGUUGUACGACCAGGUCGUCGAGCCUCUCCUCGCGACAGUGCUGACGCCCGACCGUGCGUCACAGGCAGUUGUGGUGGUUGAUGGCCAGUCCGGCAACCGCCGCUACACGCUACUAGAUCCGGUAGAGGGCAUUCUGGCCCGCACCGCACGCGCCGCUGUUGCUCAUCCGGGCGUCACCUCUGUCUCUGUGAGCGCAGUCACGCUGGAGGACAACAACACCCUCACCGACAUCAUGCCAGACCGGAACGCUGAUGCUGCACAUGAGCAGCCAACCAUACUCGAGGACACGUGUGAGCAGUUCACAUCGGUCGAGGACGCGCACUACGUUGUGCUGGACUCGGAGGCCACCUGGGACGGCGUGCUGCACCGCAUGACCGCCGCCUUCGCCGAGCUCAAGCACCAAGUCAUCAGUUUCAUUUUUGCGUUUCAUGAGUCGACCGGCUUGCCGAACACGACCAUGCAGUUCGUGUCCUUCACGGUAAACGAGGUCGCGCGUGGCAUGAAGUCGUCGCGCCACGCCGUCUCCUCGGCGGCGGCCUUGGUGGAGUGUCGCUCACCUACGCUCACCUUCACGGCAACCAAGUUGCUCUACCUUUUGAAGCCGACGCUCCUAGGCCAGCAACCGGGUGCGUGGGUGGCAUCUUUUUCACCUGUCAGCCUGCUGGAGGCGGCAGAGCACGAGACGUUCCAGGAGGCUUUCGCAGUGGCGCAGACGGCUGCGCGUCUGUACAGUUCCCGCAUCGCUGUUUUGAACGAAUCUCUUCUACCUGCGAGUGGCGGCCCUGCCGCACCUACGGCGGGUGUGGGCCUGGACAUUGAGCGCGUCGGCGAAUGUGCGCCGCUGCCAGCUGUGGAGGAUGGUGGGGCCGACAUGACUGGCGCGGCGUUGAGGUCAAGGCCCGGGGAAAAGUCACAGCCUUCUUUCAGGACCGGGUCUCGCGACACCUCGGCUAAUCCUCAGCACGGUGAUCCCGGUCACAGCGCCGCCUUUCAGCAUGACCUCGUUGACACGCCCGCCGCUGCGCAGGAUCGGAUGACUGAGAGUGCCUCCGGCCUCGCUGCUGCAUCUCCGGCGGCGCCUUCUUCAGAUGAUUCGCGAGGCACAGGGGCUAACUGUGCAGCGCAGGCGGAGCCGGACGUGGACGCGGCACCGGUGCCUGUCGAGUCAAUCCAACGUGGUGCUUCGGAAGAGAGGUCGGCCGCGCGGUACGAGCUUGACACGUAUCGGGUGGUGAUGGAACGGGCUGUGGACAAGCUACGUGCCGAGGUGCGCGAGUACGCGGGGGCGUUGCGCGACACAAGGGAGGACGUAAGACGGCAAAAGCAAAAGAGCCGGGAGCUGCUGUCGGAGCUGGAGGCGAUGCGGUCAUCCUAUGAUGCUGCUGUCAGCGAGAACGAUAGACUGCGCGAGGCGCUGCGUGCCGGGCAUGGCGCCUCUGACAGCACGCUACUUGCGGCGCUACAGAGCGGUGCUUCCGACUCAGCAGCACAAAGGUCGCGCCAGGGGCCGAAAGAUAAACAUUCGACGGCGAAUCAACAAGGAAACGACCACGUAGCGCGCUUUUUACGAAGGGAUUUGGCAGUCCUCGAAGCACGCGUGGAGGAGCUGACGGAGCUCGUGGCGUUCCACCAACGCGAAAUUCAGGCCCACGUGGCGAGCGAGCACAGGUACCGGCAGCGGAUUCUCGAUCUUGAGGCGGAGUUACGCGAAAAGGAGCGAGAGGCCAUUGCUGACAAGGCGGCUGUGAAGGAGGCACAGCGUGCGGCAGACGUCGCACGAGCGGCGGCCAAGGCACCGCCGGCGCUGUCCCGCGCCGCUCACACGAGCAGCGCGAUCGAACAGGAAGACCUGCGUUUUGUGGAGGAGCGCGCCACGGAGGUAGAGUAUCGCCUGCGUGAAGCACUGGAUGCGUUGCAGAGCGAGCGCACUCAGCGGCUGCGACUCGAGCACCUCAUGAAGCGUCGAGAAGAAGAGGAGGUGUCGCAUGCGGCACCGUCAGACGACAAUGAACUUCUGCGGAGCCUGCAGCGCACAUACGAGAUGCAGCUGCGCGAGCUGAAGUCGGAGAUGUCCGGCUUCCGAGCAGAGCUUGUGCGGCACCUGACAAAGCCGUCCGUGCCGCAGAACCUCGGUGAUGCCUCCAGCUACGUCGCCACACCAGUAGACCGUCAAGGCCGUGAUGACCCUGCUGUUGUCAAGCUGCAGAGAUCGUCGCCACCGCGCAUGUCUCCCAUCCCGGACGCCUCAUCGACGCACUUCUCGCAUGCUGGCGACGGCGUCUCUGCGCACAGUGACAGAGGCGGUGACGCGGCUCCUUCGCCACUGCAGCAGCGCCGCCAGCGGAGCGCGCAGUCCUUUGAACAGUUUAUGCAGGAAGAGCCGCGGUAUAAACUGCACUGCGCCCCCUUGCUGCGUCGGCGUCCACGUACCCCUGCUGCUUAGACCAAGUCGUCUGUGUGCCCAUCUCGUCCUCUCUGUCUUGUGCAGCCCUUGCCUCGUCAUUUCCUUUAGAUGGCGGUGAUGCACUUGCUCACUCGGCAUAUCUUCGAGUGGCUCGUGUACCGCUCUGCGUUGGUGCGUUGUCGACCCUCUACCACCGCGUUUGUACCAAGACC
Molecule: unclassified non-coding RNA, 2922 nt
Filed under: Leishmania donovani
Lineage: Eukaryota; Euglenozoa; Kinetoplastea; Trypanosomatida; Trypanosomatidae
Description: gene:LdHU3.25.0310(CDS-product:hypothetical_prote in_conserved)
Source: RNAcentral